UCCUAAUUAGCUCAGUUGGUAGAGCGCUCCACUGGAAAUUGAGAGGUCCUGUGUUCGAUACCCGGACCAGGCG
Molecule: non-coding RNA, 73 nt
Organism: Ixodes scapularis (black-legged tick)
Lineage: Eukaryota; Metazoa; Arthropoda; Arachnida; Ixodida; Ixodidae
Source: Rfam